Molecule: long non-coding RNA, 716 nt
Organism: Gasterosteus aculeatus aculeatus (three-spined stickleback)
Lineage: Eukaryota; Metazoa; Chordata; Actinopteri; Perciformes; Gasterosteidae
Source: Ensembl
CCCAGUCUUUCAUGGCGGCGUGGAAGACUUUGGCCCAAAAAAAAAUCAAAAUCUCGUCCCUGUAUGCACAAAUCCAAGUUUGUCUUUGCUAUUGAAAUAAUUUCCCCAGACCCCUCCAUUGUCAAGGCAAAAACACUUUUGUUGUUAUUCUAAAAAACUUCACCAAUUUAAAAAGUCUGAGGUUUGUUGCUUCAACAAAAUGAAUUACAUAAACAAGGGUAAUUAAUCAUAUAUGAGGCCCCAGAUAGAGCAAUCAUGCACACAACAACUGAAGGUUACUUUGUACCAGUAUAGCUUCUGCCUAUUUUAUUAUUCUGUUUAUGGAGGCGAUGAUUGAUGCUUGAGGCAAGUCAGCUGUUUGAUACAGAAUAUUUAUUUCCAAGGAGCAGAACAACAAUACAGCGUGAUCAUGAUGGAUUAUUUUAUAGACACCAACCUCCAUCCCGCUGAUGCGUCGAUCGUUCCAAGGCGCAGGUGAUCACGGGCGGUAUCGCUGCACUAAGUGGUUCUGCAUAUGUCGGGCGUUUCAGACCAAUUCCCUGCAGAGAGUCGUCGGCCAACACACCCGCCCUCCAUCUCAGAUCCCAACAGGAGAGCAAGUAAGAGGAUAACGUGAUGCCUCCAGGCCACAGCAGCUGCACCACCCGAUGGACUCUCCAGGCUCUGAAUGAGGACAGGUGAUUGCAUCAUCAGCUUGUCAGCAAGUCCGGUCUAAC